UCCCCGGCAACGGCGCCA
RNAcentral lists this non-coding RNA (18 nucleotides) under Arabidopsis thaliana (thale cress). Lineage: Eukaryota; Viridiplantae; Streptophyta; Magnoliopsida; Brassicales; Brassicaceae. The record is from RNAcentral.